UGGAUGACUCUCGGCAACGGAUAUCUCGGCUCUUGCAUCGAUGAAGAACGUAGCAAAAUGCGAUACUUGGUGUGAAUUGCAGAAUCCCGUGAACCAUCGAGUCUUUGAACGCAAGUUGCACCCGAGGCCAUCCGGCCAAGGGCACGCCUGCCUGGGCGUCACAC
RNAcentral lists this ribosomal RNA (164 nucleotides) under Ensete glaucum. Its description in RNAcentral is "5.8S ribosomal RNA". It matches the Rfam family "5.8S ribosomal RNA". Rfam says of the family: 5.8S ribosomal RNA (5.8S rRNA) is a component of the large subunit of the eukaryotic ribosome. Lineage: Eukaryota; Viridiplantae; Streptophyta; Magnoliopsida; Zingiberales; Musaceae. The record is from RNAcentral.